GGCGGAUUCCGAGUGGAAGGGCCGUCGCUCAUCAGAUAAAAGGUACUCCGGGGAUAACAGGCUGAUCUCCCCCAAGAGUUCAUAUCGACGGGGAGGUUUGGCACCUCGAUGUCGGCUCAUCGCAUCCUGGGGCUGAAGGCGGUCCCAAGGGUUUGGCUGUUCGCCAAUUAAAGCGGUACGUGAGCUGGGUUUAGACCGUCGUGAGACAGGUCGGUCCCUAUCUGGUGUGGGUGUAGGAUGAUUGAGGAGGUUUUCCCCUAGUACGAGAGGAUUGGGGAGGACGAACCGCUGGUGCUCCAGUUAUCACGCUAGUGGUACAGCUGGGUAGCUAAGUUCGGAACGGAUAAGCGCUGAAUGCAUCUAAGCGCGAAGCCUUCUCCAAGACGAGUCAUCCCUUAGAGUCCCCUGGGAGACUACCAGGUUGAUAGGCAGGCGGUGUAAGCGCAGCAAUGCGUUCAGCUUACCUGUACUAAUCGGACCAUCGGCUUAAACAC
RNAcentral lists this ribosomal RNA (494 nucleotides) under Planctomycetota bacterium. RNAcentral's name for it is "partial 23S ribosomal RNA". It matches the Rfam family "Bacterial large subunit ribosomal RNA", at positions 2422 to 2925 of the family's 2925-position model. Lineage: Bacteria; Pseudomonadati; Planctomycetota. The record is from RNAcentral.